RNAcentral lists this ribosomal RNA (1362 nucleotides) under uncultured bacterium. RNAcentral describes it as "partial 16S ribosomal RNA". It matches the Rfam family "Bacterial small subunit ribosomal RNA", at positions 28 to 1368 of the family's 1533-position model. The record is from RNAcentral.
GACGAACGCUGGCGGCGUGCUUAACACAUGCAACUUGAACGGAGAAUUUGCUUCGGUGAAUUCUUAGUGGCGAACGGGUGAGUAACGCGUAGGCAACCUGCCCUCUGGUUGGGGACAACAUUCCGAAAGGGAUGCUAAUACCGAAUGUGCUCCCGCCUCCGCAUGGAGGCGGGAGGAAAGAUGGCCUCUACUUGUAAGCUAUCGCCAGAAGAUGGGCCUGCGUCUGAUUAGCUAGUAGGUGGGGUAACGGCUCACCUAGGCGAUGAUCAGUAGCCGGUCUGAGAGGAUGAACGGCCACAUUGGGACUGAGACACGGCCCAAACUCCUACGGGAGGCAGCAGUGGGGAAUCUUCCGCAAUGGACGAAAGUCUGACGGAGCAACGCCGCGUGAGUGAUGAAGGUCUUCGGAUUGUAAAACUCUGUUGUCAGGGACGAAUGUACUGAUUUACAAUACACUUCGGUAUUGACGGUACCUGACGAGGAAGCCACGGCUAACUACGUGCCAGCAGCCGCGGUAAUACGUAGGUGGCAAGCGUUGUCCGGAAUUAUUGGGCGUAAAGAGCAUGUAGGCGGGCUUUUAAGUCCGACGUGAAAAUGCGGGGCUUAACCCCGUAUGGCGUUGGAUACUGGGAGUCUUGAGUGCAGGAGAGGAAAAGGGGAAUUCCCAGUGUAGCGGUGAAAAGCGUAGAUAUUAGGAGGAACACCGGUGGCGAAGGCGGCCUUCUGGACUGAAAAUGACACUGAGGCACGAAAGCGUGGGUAGCAAACAGGAUUAGAUACCCUGGUAGUCCACGCCGUAAACGAUGAGCACUAGGUGUCGGGCUCGAGAGAGUUCGGUGCCGGAGCAAACGCAUUAAGUGCUCCGCCUGGGGAGUACGCACGCAAGUGUAAAACUCAAAGGAAUUGACGGGGACCCGCACAAGCAGCGGAGCAUGUGGUUUAAUUCGAAGCAACGCGAAGAACCUUACCAGAGCUUGACAUCCUCCUGACCGGGGAAGUAAUGUUCCCCUUCUCUUCGGAGCAGGAGUGACAGGUGGUGCAUGGUUGUCGUCAGCUCGUGUCGUGAGAUGUUGGGUCAAGUCCCGCAACGAGCGCAACCCUUGCUGUCAGUUGCCAUCAUUAAGUUGGGCACUCUGACGGGACUGCCGGGGAUAACCCGGAGGAAGGCGGGGAUGACGUCAAAUCAUCAUGCCCCUUAUGACUUGGGCUACACACGUGCUACAAUGGCGUAAACAAAGGGAAGCAAAGCUGUGAAGCCGAGCAAAUCUCAAAAAUAACGUCUCAGUUCGGACUGUAGUCUGCAAUCCGACUACACGAAGCUGGAAUAGCUAGUAAUAGCAGAUCAGAAUGCUGCGGUGAAUA